AUGAACGCUGGCGGCGUGCCUAAUACAUGCAAGUCGAGCGAACGGACGAGAAGCUUGCUUCUCUGAUGUUAGCGGCGGACGGGUGAGUAACACGUGGAUAACCUACCUAUAAGACUGGGAUAACUUCGGGAAACCGGAGCUAGUACCGGAUAAUAUUUUGAACCGCAUGGUUCAAAAGUGAAAGACGGUCUUGCUGUCACUUAUAGAUGGAUCCGCGCUGCAUUAGCUAGUUGGUAAGGUAACGGCUUACCAAGGCAACGAUGCAUAGCCGACCUGAGAGGGUGAUCGGCCACACUGGAACUGAGACACGGUCCAGACUCCUACGGGAGGCAGCAGUAGGGAAUCUUCCGCAAUGGGCGAAAGCCUGACGGAGCAACGCCGCGUGAGUGAUGAAGGUCUUCGGAUCGUAAAACUCUGUUAUUAGGGAAGAACAUAUGUGUAAGUAACUGUGCACAUCUUGACGGUACCUAAUCAGAAAGCCACGGCUAACUACGUG
This 496-nucleotide ribosomal RNA is filed under the name uncultured bacterium. Its description in RNAcentral is "partial 16S ribosomal RNA". It matches the Rfam family "Bacterial small subunit ribosomal RNA", at positions 29 to 507 of the family's 1533-position model. The record is from RNAcentral.